AUGUCCAAAUAUCAACUGCUACUCGAACCGUCUGCCACCGGCGAUGAGGAUGCUCCCACAGCAGGCGUAGACAACAAUAACAGAACAACAACAACAACAACACAUACAAGCCUUCAUAAUGCCGCCGAGAAUCUACAAGCGCUGCUCUACACCGACAGCAGCAACGAUUCCAGCAGCAGCAGCGGCGGCGGACGGGCGCGUGCAGUGCGCACCAGCAACAACAAUAACAACAAUAGAAGCGGCAGCAAUAGCAAUAGCAUGAAUAGUCACAGCAGCGGCAGCAGCAGCAGUUGGGAGUACAGUCCCUUCGACAGUGUCAACGCAAACAGCAACAACAACAACAACAGCAUUAAUCAGACAAAAGCGGCUGUGAUGUCAAGAGCAACAGCGACAACAACAACAACAACAGGAACAGUAGUGGCGUUGAGUUUAGCCGACAUGGAAGCGAAAACGUCGUCAACAUCACUAUUGUUGGACGCUUACGAGGCGGAUGACACUACGAUGGAGGUGCCACUGCUUGGCGGAAAUGAUAAUAGCGAUUACCAUGACCACGCACACCAGCAGUUCACCACCGCUUCCGCUGCCGCCAACAACGCUGCUGCCGCCGCCGCCACCUGCCAUUGCCAAUUACCCGGAUUUGGCGCAAAUCUGCAUACAAAAUCCACACAAGAUGCGAAAUUCAAAAUUUUAUUAGCAAUUACGCUGUGCUGCGUUUUCAUGAUUGUUGAAUUCCUUGGCGGCUAUAUGGCCGGAAGUUUGGCUAUCAUGACGGAUGCCGCCCACUUGGCGUCCGAUUGCAUUAGUUUUGUCAUCGGUUUAGUGGCAAUUUGGUUGGGCGGACGACCGCCCGAUGACCGUAUGUCCUUCGGCUAUAAACGGAUGGAGGUGAUGGGCGCCAUUGUAUCGAUAUUAGGUAUUUGGAUACUAACCGCAACACUAAUUAUUGUGGCUAUGGAACGUUUAUACUCCAAUGACUUCGAUUUGAAAGCCGACACUAUGAUGAUUAUAUCGGGCAUUGGCAUUUUGAUUAAUAUUGUCAUGGUUUUCAUACUCCACGGCUCAUCGCUAACGCAUGGAGCUGCUCAUGGUCACAGCCAUGCACACGCACAUGCGCACUCACAUUCGCACACCCAUUCAGCGGCGGCCGGCAAUGCCUUGGCGCAAGUUAAUGGUUCAAAUGGCGGUGGUGGCAAUGAAUUCAAAAAAUGUGACAGCGCCGAUAACCUAAAUUUGCGCGCCGCCAUGAUACACGUCAUCGGCGAUCUGGUGCAGAGCAUUGGCGUCUUUCUCGCAUCAAUUUUAAUACAAAUUUAUCCCAGCGCGAAGUUUGCCGAUCCGUUGUGCACGCUACUGUUCUCCGUUAUCGUUUUCAUGACCACUGUGCGUCUGCUUCGGGAAUCGGUUGGUAUUCUCCUGGAUGCUGUGCCGCCAUCGAUCUCACUGCGUAGCUUGGCGUUGGAUUUGGCCGACAUUGAAGGCGUUAAAUCUGUACACCAUUUGAAUGUCUGGAGUCACACGAAUAACCAUAGCGUCAUGAUGGUGCACUUAGUCAUUGAUUUUCUCUCGGACAGCAACACGGUGCUGCAGCGCGCCACACAAGUAGCCUGUGGCAGCAAAUACGACAUCAAACAUUGCACCAUACAAAUCGAACGUUCCACGAGCACAUAAAACCACUUGCACUUAGACAAAUAAGCCAGCAUAUGCUUGUGUGUAGCUAAGAAAGAAAAAAAACUGAACCGACGGAUUAAACGAUCACACGACGCCUUGCCAGACCAGACCGAUGAAUGUGUGAUGAAAGUGUGCAAUUUAAGCUUCACUGGAGAAUGCAGAGGGAGAAAGAGAUGGAAGAGAAGGUGAUAUAUACCACAUAUAUUUAUAUAUAUAUGUACAUAUGUAUGUGUUGGUGCUCACGUAUGUGCGCUUAAAGACGAUUGACAGGAGGACGCGGUCGGAGGCGGCUGUGCCACACUUGCGAUGCAUCCGAGCUGUAGUAAUUCUAUCACAGACAAUUGACGUUGUCAUUAAAUGCUCUACGCUAAUUGAUCGUUAAAUUUAUUACCUCUAUGAGAGGGCGCGCGGCAUGCCAGUGCGCGGAUAUAUGGCUGUUGCUCAUAUCGGUCUUCAUAUAUGGAAGAAUUUAUAUAUUUCACGCGUGUGCUUCAUAAAAUGGAUACAACACAUACACGUAUAUGCACAUGUACACACACAUAUACAAACAACACCAAUUCACAAUCAUUUAUUGCCAUUACUCACAAUUACUAAGCGUGAAAAACCAAAGUUCGCCGCUAUAAAAAAAAAUUCUAAAAAAAGCGUAAAAAAACUAAAGAGAAAAACGAAAAAACUAGAAAUAAUAAAAUAAAAUUCAAAAAAAUCCAAAAGGUGCGAAAAUAAAAUGUACCUAUCGUAAAUAUAUGAGGGUAUAUACAGAAAAUAAAUAGUCUGCUGUUUGCUUGUUUUAUCGCGCUCAAUGUGAUAAUGAAAAUCCUCGCGGUUAAACAGCAAUUACAGCGCCGCAAUAUUCAUAGGUAAACAAAAUUGCACAAAAAUGAGUAUUAGAAAAAAAUAUAUUUUAAAAUAAGCAACAGUUAAUUAGUAUAUGUAUGUAGGCUUAGUUUUUGAGCGCGUUUAUUAAUGUUAUAUAUUUAGUUAUAUUUGCGUCAUAGUCACUAUGUAAGCUGUUGUUGCAACACAAAAAUUAAUUAAAACUGUCGUAUUUAUUCAGCGAAACUAAUAAAAAUAAUAUAUUAAAUG
This 2751-nucleotide unclassified non-coding RNA is filed under the name Bactrocera tryoni. RNAcentral's name for it is "zinc transporter 2, transcript variant X3". The record is from RNAcentral. Lineage: Eukaryota; Metazoa; Arthropoda; Insecta; Diptera; Tephritidae.